This 508-nucleotide ribosomal RNA is filed under the name uncultured bacterium. Its description in RNAcentral is "partial 16S ribosomal RNA". It matches the Rfam family "Bacterial small subunit ribosomal RNA", at positions 28 to 523 of the family's 1533-position model. The record is from RNAcentral.
GAUGAACGCUAGCUACAGGCUUAACACAUGCAAGUCGAGGGGAAACGACAUCGAAAGCUUGCUUUUGAUGGGCGUCGACCGGCGCACGGGUGAGUAACGCGUAUCCAACCUGCCCACCACCUGGGGAUCACCUUGCGAACGUAAGCCUAAUACCCAAUGACGACUCUAGAAGACAUCCGACAGAGAUUAAAGAUUUAUCGGUGAUGGAUUGGGAAGCGUCUGAUUAGCUUGUUGGCGGGGUAACGGCCCACCAAGGCGACGAUCAGUAGGGGUUCUGAGAGGAAGGUCCCCCACAUUGGAACUGAGACACGGUCCAAACUCCUACGGGAGGCAGCAGUGAGGAAUAUUGGUCAAUGGGCGAGAGCCUGAACCAGCCAAGUAGCGUGCAGGAUGACGGCCCUAUGGGUUGUAAACUGCUUUUAUAAGGGAAUAAAGUGAGUCUCGUGAGACUUUUUGCAUGUACCUUAUGAAUAAGGACCGGCUAAUUCCGUGCCAGCAGCCGCCGUAA